Molecule: ribosomal RNA, 253 nt
Filed under: uncultured bacterium
Lineage: Bacteria
Description: partial 16S ribosomal RNA
Rfam family: Bacterial small subunit ribosomal RNA
Source: RNAcentral
UACGUAGGGGGCAAGCGUUGUCCGGAAUCAUUGGGCGUAAAGCGCGUGUAGGCGGCCAGGUAAGUCCGUUCUGAAAGCCCGGGGCUCAACCCCGGGAGGCGGAUGGAUACUGCUUGGCUCGAGUCCGGAAGAGGCGAGUGGAAUUCCUGGUGUAGCGGUGAAAUGCGCAGAUAUCAGGAAGAACACCAAUGGCGAAGGCAGCUCUCUGGGACGGUACUGACACUGAGACGCGAAAGCGUGGGGAGCAAACAGG